Molecule: ribosomal RNA, 254 nt
Filed under: uncultured bacterium
Lineage: Bacteria
Description: partial 16S ribosomal RNA
Rfam family: Bacterial small subunit ribosomal RNA
Source: RNAcentral
CACGUAGGGUGCGAGCGUUGUCCGGAAUUAUUGGGCAUAAAGAGCUCGUAGGCGGUGUGUCGCGUCGGCCGUGAAAACCUGCAGCUUAACUGUGGGCUUGCGGUCGAUACGGGCAUCACUGGAGUUCGGCAGGGGAGACUGGAAUUCCUGGUGUAGCGGUGAAAUGCGCAGAUAUCAGGAGGAACACCGGUGGCGAAGGCGGGUCUCUGGGCCGAUACUGACGCUGAGGAGCGAAAGCGUGGGGAGCGAACAGG